GUUCUUCGGAAUUAGAGACCGGCGCACGGGUGCGUAACGCGUAUGCAAUCUACCUUUCACAGAGGGAUAGCCCAGAGAAAUUUGGAUUAAUACCUCAUAGUAUAAUACCUUGGCAUCAAGGAAUUAUUAAAGUCACAACGGUGAAAGAUGAGCAUGCGUCCCAUUAGCUAGUUGGUAAGGUAACGGCUUACCAAGGCGACGAUGGGUAGGGGUCCUGAGAGGGAGAUCCCCCACACUGGUACUGAGACACGGACCAGACUCCUACGGGAGGCAGCAGUGAGGAAUAUUGGACAAUGGGCGCAAGCCUGAUCCAGCCAUGCCGCGUGCAGGAUGACGGUCCUAUGGAUUGUAAACUGCUUUUAUACGAGAAGAAACACUCCGACGUGUCGGAGCUUGACGGUAUCGUAAGAAUAAGGAUCGGCUAACUCCGUGCCAGCAGCCGCGGUAAUACGGAGGAUCCAAGCGUUAUCCGGAAUCAUUGGGUUUAAAGGGUCCGUAGGCGGUCAGAUAAGUCAGUGGUGAAAGCCCAUCGCUCAACGGUGGAACGGCCAUUGAUACUGUCUGACUUGAAUUAUUAGGAAGUAACUAGAAUAUGUAGUGUAGCGGUGAAAUGCUUAGAGAUUACAUGGAAUACCAAUUGCGAAGGCAGGUUACUACUAAUGGAUUGACGCUGAUGGACGAAAGCGUGGGUAGCGAACAGGAUUAGAUACCCUGGUAGUCCACGCCGUAAACGAUGGAUACUAGCUGUUGGGCGCAAGUUCAGUGGCUAAGCGAAAGUGAUAAGUAUCCCACCUGGGGAGUACGUUCGCAAGAAUGAAACUCAAAGGAAUUGACGGGGGCCCGCACAAGCGGUGGAGCAUGUGGUUUAAUUCGAUGAUACGCGAGGAACCUUACCAAGGCUUAAAUGUAGAUUGACCGGUUUGGAAACAGACUUUUCGCAAGACAAUUUACAAGGUGCUGCAUGGUUGUCGUCAGCUCGUGCCGUGAGGUGUCAGGUUAAGUCCUAUAACGAGCGCAACCCCUGUUGUUAGUUGCCAGCGAGUCAUGUCGGGAACUCUAACAAGACUGCCAGUGCAAACUGWGAGGAAGGUGGGGAUGACGUCAAAUCAUCACGGCCCUUACGCCUUGGGCUACACACGUGCUACAAUGGCCGGUACAGAGAGCAGCCACUGGGCGACCAGGAGCGAAUCUACAAAACCGGUCACAGUUCGGAUCGGAGUCUGCAACUCGACUCCGUGAAGCUGGAAUCGCUGUAAUCGGAUAUCAGCCAUGAUCCGGUGAAUCCGUUCCCGGCCU
RNAcentral lists this ribosomal RNA (1296 nucleotides) under Flavobacterium sp. EP130. RNAcentral's name for it is "bacterial SSU rRNA". It matches the Rfam family "Bacterial small subunit ribosomal RNA", at positions 75 to 1381 of the family's 1533-position model. The record is from RNAcentral. Lineage: Bacteria; Pseudomonadati; Bacteroidota; Flavobacteriia; Flavobacteriales; Flavobacteriaceae.